Molecule: RNase P RNA, 338 nt
Filed under: Candidatus Saccharimonadota bacterium
Lineage: Bacteria; Candidatus Saccharimonadota
Also listed under: 1 other name
Description: RNase P RNA component class A
Rfam family: Bacterial RNase P class A
About the family: Ribonuclease P (RNase P) is a ubiquitous endoribonuclease, found in archaea, bacteria and eukarya as well as chloroplasts and mitochondria. Its best characterised activity is the generation of mature 5'-ends of tRNAs by cleaving the 5'-leader elements of precursor-tRNAs.
Source: RNAcentral
CUAGAUUACUGGAUGAUCGCUCGCCUUGGCGAGAGGAAAGUCCGGGCAAUAUAGGACAAGACAGUUGCUAACGGCAACCGGAAGUAAUUCUAGGGAAAGUGCCACAGAAACAAAACUACCCUGAUUUAUUGGGGAAAAGGUGAAACGAGUGAGGUAAGAGCUCACAGUCGACCGUGGUGACAUGGAAGAGAGGUAAACCCUGUCUAUUGCAAGGGGAUUGUCUACAACAGGUUGUCCGCCGUAGAUGAUUCGAUAUAUCCGCUUGAUUCAUUGAGUAAUCUUUGAACUAGAUAGAUGAUCAUCCCAGACAGAACCCGGCUUAUAGGUAGUCUAGUAUU